AUCCCAUGAUUUGGACACUUUCUCAUCAACUCCUUAAAUCUAUUUUAGGCCUUGUGAUAGCUUUCCCCAUCUUUUUGUUGAAAUGUUUGAAUUUUCAGUCUGAUUCU
This 107-nucleotide small nucleolar RNA is filed under the name Olea europaea subsp. europaea. Its description in RNAcentral is "Plant small nucleolar RNA R71". It matches the Rfam family "Plant small nucleolar RNA R71". From Rfam's summary of the family: R71 is a member of the C/D box family of snoRNAs containing the C (UGAUGA) and D (CUGA) box motifs. Multiple nearly identical copies of this snoRNA have been identified in Arabidopsis, and it is thought to function as a 2'-O-ribose methylation guide for 18S ribosomal RNA. Lineage: Eukaryota; Viridiplantae; Streptophyta; Magnoliopsida; Lamiales; Oleaceae. The record is from Rfam by way of RNAcentral.